RNAcentral lists this long non-coding RNA (519 nucleotides) under Equus caballus (horse). RNAcentral describes it as "lncRNA (ENSECAG00000052908.1)". The record is from RNAcentral. Lineage: Eukaryota; Metazoa; Chordata; Mammalia; Perissodactyla; Equidae.
ACCGAAGCAGGAACCUGCCUUUGUGAAAUGGGGACAAUAAAAACAUUUCCCCCUUCACUGCCCCACCCUUGUCUCUCCACUUACGAGGCUGGCGGGAGCGCUCGUUAGCCUGUAAACUGCUUCUGGUCUUCCUUGGAGAGUGACAUCUGAUGGAGGUGAGGAGGAUGGUUGCAGUUUACAGAACUGAAGUCGAAUGAGGUUGUUCCAGGCCUGAAAGGGACGCACAAGACUUCUGUUAACAUCUCAGUGGCAAAAAUUCAUCUUUGGCUACAUCUGGGCAUAGGAGGCGCUGGAAAAAGGAAUGCAUGUUUGAGCAGCUGUCUUUUAUCAACAACUUCACACUGUGGAAGAGGAAACAUGAUUUUUGGUGGGCCGAUAGCCAUCUCUUUUGUAAAAGUAUCAUCAUCAUCAUCCCCAUUUUUGGAUGGGGAAACUGAGGCUCCAGUGCUGAAGUAACUCACCCAAGGUCUGUAGCUGGUAAGUGGUGGAGGCAGGAUUUGAACCCAGGUAGUCCAGCUG